This is an unclassified non-coding RNA of Callithrix jacchus (white-tufted-ear marmoset), 148 nucleotides long. It matches the Rfam family "Metazoan signal recognition particle RNA". Rfam says of the family: The signal recognition particle (SRP) is a universally conserved ribonucleoprotein. It is involved in the co-translational targeting of proteins to membranes. NCBI's taxonomy places the organism in Eukaryota, Metazoa, Chordata, Mammalia, Primates, Cebidae. The record is from Ensembl.
GCCAGGCAUGGUGGGGCGUGCCUGUAAUCCCAGCUACUUGGGAGGCUGAGACAGAAGAAUCACUUGAACCCAGGAGGCAGAGGUUGCAGUGAGCCAAGAUCGAGCCACUACAUUCCAGCCUGGGCAAUAGAGUGAGACUCUGUUUCAA